Molecule: unclassified non-coding RNA, 437 nt
Filed under: Hevea brasiliensis (rubber tree)
Lineage: Eukaryota; Viridiplantae; Streptophyta; Magnoliopsida; Malpighiales; Euphorbiaceae
Source: RNAcentral
CAAAUAGCCCAUUCUGACACAUCAAAGAUUUUGCUUUCGGCACAGACAAAAGCACGGGGUAUUUCUACCUUUUGAGGCCUAUCAAAGGCCAAUGAGCCCUUGUAUUCAACCCAUCCAUCUCCAUCUUUGGCUUGAUGGUAUUGGCAACAAUCCUGACACCAUCUGGCCUUAGCCUUACUCCUAUUGGUGCAAACCCAUAUAUGUGAAUUGCCACACUUUGUGCACUGUAUACGCCUCGACUCCUCAGAGCAAUAGUCUUGGUUUCCCUGACGAGGAGUACCAUGGGAAUUUUGACAUACACUCCUAGUCUUGGAUUCUUCCUUCCUCAAUUGCUCAUCAUAGUCCCACUUUUUUGAUGAAUCAGAAAGAACCUCAUAAGCGCACUGAAGCUUCUUAAAUGAUUCACUUGCCAAAGGACUUCCCAUAUUUUUAUCAGG